Molecule: transfer RNA, 77 nt
Filed under: Betaproteobacteria bacterium
Lineage: Bacteria; Pseudomonadati; Pseudomonadota; Betaproteobacteria
Also listed under: 2 other names
Description: tRNA-Met
Rfam family: tRNA
About the family: Transfer RNA (tRNA) molecules are approximately 80 nucleotides in length. Their secondary structure includes four short double-helical elements and three loops (D, anti-codon, and T loops).
Source: RNAcentral
GGCGGAUUAGCUCAGCUGGUUAGAGCAGAGGAAUCAUAAUCCUUUGGUCCGGGGUUCGAGUCCCUGAUCCGCCACCA